Molecule: ribosomal RNA, 368 nt
Filed under: Burkholderia pyrrocinia
Lineage: Bacteria; Pseudomonadati; Pseudomonadota; Betaproteobacteria; Burkholderiales; Burkholderiaceae
Description: bacterial SSU rRNA
Rfam family: Bacterial small subunit ribosomal RNA
Source: RNAcentral
GCUAGAGUAUGGCAGAGGGGGGUAGAAUUCCACGUGUAGCAGUGAAAUGCGUAGAGAUGUGGAGGAAUACCGAUGGCGAAGGCAGCCCCCUGGGCCAAUACUGACGCUCAUGCACGAAAGCGUGGGGAGCAAACAGGAUUAGAUACCCUGGUAGUCCACGCCCUAAACGAUGUCAACUAGUUGUUGGGGAUUCAUUUCCUUAGUAACGUAGCUAACGCGUGAAGUUGACCGCCUGGGGAGUACGGUCGCAAGAUUAAAACUCAAAGGAAUUGACGGGGACCCGCACAAGCGGUGGAUGAUGUGGAUUAAUUCGAUGCAACGCGAAAAACCUUACCUACCCUUGACAUGGUCGGAAUCCUGCUGAGAGG